CUGCUGCCUCCCGUAGGAGUCUGGGCCGUGUCUCAGUCCCAAUGUGGCCGGCCAACCUCUCAGUCCGGCUACUGAUCGUCGCCUUGGUGAGCCGUUACCUCACCAACUAGCUAAUCAGACGCGAGUCCAUCUCAGAGCGAUAAAUCUUUGGCAGUCAGAGCCAUGCGACCCAACUGCAUCAUGCGGUAUUAGCAGUUGUUUCCAAUUGUUAUUCCCCACUCCAAGGCAGGUUA
This 233-nucleotide ribosomal RNA is filed under the name uncultured bacterium. RNAcentral describes it as "partial 16S ribosomal RNA". The record is from RNAcentral.